This 244-nucleotide non-coding RNA is filed under the name Nicotiana sylvestris (wood tobacco). RNAcentral's name for it is "Eukaryotic large subunit ribosomal RNA". It matches the Rfam family "Eukaryotic large subunit ribosomal RNA", at positions 583 to 794 of the family's 3401-position model. Lineage: Eukaryota; Viridiplantae; Streptophyta; Magnoliopsida; Solanales; Solanaceae. The record is from Rfam by way of RNAcentral.
GUGCGUGGAUGCAGUGAUAGCAUGUAUUUGAUUGGCAAUGCGAUAGAUUUGGGAUACCUUCAGAACCCGUCUUGAAACACGGACCAAGAAGUCUAACAUGUGUGCGAGUCAUUGGGUAUUUUGUUGAAACCUAAGGGCGCAAUUAAAAUAACUAUUUUAUGGGAUUACAAGUGAAUUAAAUUUCAUUUCUUCAUCCCGGGGCGUUCUAUACGAACAUGGUUUGAGCAAUUGAAUCCUCUGUUCA